ACAUGCAAGUCGACCUUGACAGAGGAGUUUUCCCGUAGAGUGGCAUAACGGGUGAAUGAUGCAUCGGAACGUCCGAUUAUGAGGAGUAACGCACCGAAGGUGUGUAAUACCGCAUACGCCCGAGGGAGAAAGUGGGGGACCGCAAGGCCUCACGCUAAUCGAGCGGCCGAUGUCGGAUUAGCUAGUUGGUGGGGUAAAGGCUCACCAAGGCGACGAUCCGUAGCGGGUUUGAGAGGAUGAUCCGCCACAUACCUGGGACUGAGACACCGGCCCAGACUCCUACGGGAGGCAGCAGUGGGGAAUUUUGGACAAUGGGGGAAACCCUGAUCCAGCCAUGCCGCGUGUUGAAGAAGGCCUUCGGGUUGUAAAGGACUUUUGUCCGGGAGG
This 387-nucleotide ribosomal RNA is filed under the name uncultured bacterium NIC030. RNAcentral's name for it is "bacterial SSU rRNA". It matches the Rfam family "Bacterial small subunit ribosomal RNA", at positions 53 to 447 of the family's 1533-position model. The record is from RNAcentral. Lineage: Bacteria; Pseudomonadati; Pseudomonadota; Betaproteobacteria.